UAAAGCUACUAAGAGCGUAUGGAGGAUGCCUAGGCACAUGGAGGCGAUGAAGGACGUGGUAAGCUGCGAUAAGCUUCGGGUAGGUGCAAACAACCUUAAAUCCGGAGAUUUCCGAAUGGGAAAACCCAGCCCGGGUUAUGCCGGGUUACUCCCACCUGAAUAUAUAGGGUGGGUAGAGCCAACGGGGAGAACUGACACAUCUAAGUACCCCCAGGAAGAGAAAAUACUAAUGAUUUCCCUAGUAGCGGCGAGCGAACAGGAAAGAGCCUAAACCGUUAACGUGUCAAGCCCAAGAGCGUUGCGCUAACGGUGUUGUGGGACUGGAAUAGAGUCAAUCUUGGACGACUCGACAAGUCAAAAAAUCAAUCGUUAGAUGAAGUGGUAUGGAAAGACCAGCCAUAGAAGGUGAUAGCCCUGUAAUCAAAAACGAGCGAUCUUGUUGAUUCCAGAUCCCGAGUAACACGGAACACGAGAAAUUUUGUGUGAAUCUGCCGGGACCAUCCGGUAAGGCUAAAUACUCCCAUGUGACCGAUAGUGAACUAGUACCGUGAGGGAAAGGUGAAAAGUACUCCUAGCGGAGAGUGAAAUAGAACCUGAAACCGUGCGCUUACAAGCGGUCGGAGCUCCGAUUCGUCGGGGUGACGGCGUGCCUUUUGCAUAAUGAUCCAGCGAGUUGCUCGUAUGUUGCGAGGUUAAGAUCCAAAGAUCGAAGCCAUAGGGAAACCGAGUCUGAAUAGGGCGUUUAGUAGCAUGCGGCAGACCCGAAACCGAGUGAUCUAGCCAUGGCCAGGUUGAAGUUCCGGUAACACGGAAUGGAGGACCGAACCCACCAGCGUUGAAAAGCUGGGGGAUGAGCUGUGGCUAGGGGUGAAAGGCCAAUCAAACUCGGAGAUAUCUGGUUCUCGUCGAAAUGCCUUUAGGGGCAGCGUUGUAUUAAUGUAUCGGGGGUAGAGCACUGAAUGGGCUAGGGGGCCUACAAGCUUACCAACCCCAAUUAAACUCCGAAUACCGAAUACAUGAUGUACAGCAGUGAGGCUAUGGGAGAUAAGUUUCAUAGCCGAGAGGGAAACAACCCAGAUCAUCAGCUAAGGUCCCAAAAUUGAUACUAAGUGAUAAAGGAUGUGGAAUCGCCCAGACAGCUAGGAGGUUGGCUUAGAAGCAGCCAUCCUUUAAAGAAAGCGUAAUAGCUCACUAGUCAAGGGGUUCUGCGCCGAUAAUUUCCGGGACUAAGUAUCAUACCGAAGCUAUGGGAUUCAUUCGAUUAGAAUGGAUCGGUAGACGAGCGUUCUAUUAACCUGCGAAGGUUGACCCGUGAGGGCAGCUGGAGGAGAUAGAAAUGAGUAUGCUGGAAUGAGUAGCGAUAAAGCCUGUGAAAUACAGGCUCGCCGUAAGCCCAAGGUUUCCUGAGUAAAGUUAAUCUGCUCAGGGUUAGUCGGACCCUAAGCCGAGGCCGAAAGGCGUAGGCGAUGGAAAACAGGUUUAAUAUUCCUGUACCAGUUUAAUAUUGUUUGAACUAUGGGGGGACGCAGAAGUGAAAGGAGAUCCCGGUUUUGAUUGUCCGGGUUUAAGUGUGUAGGGAGUUCUGGUAGGUAAAUCCGCCGGAACAUUAUCCUGAGGCACGAACAGGAGGGCCUAGCCCAUAAACUCUCCCUAAUCAUGCUGCCAAGAAAAUCCUCUAUGUUAGAUAUUAGACUGACCGUACCGUAAACGGACACACGUAGGCGAGGAGAGAAUCCUAAGGCGCUUGAGAGAAUCCAAGUAAAGGAACUCGGCAAAUUAGCCCCGUAACUUCGGGAGAAGGGGUGCCACUUGAGGAAACGGACUUCGCGUCCUGAUUUUUGAGUGGUCGCAGUGACCAGGCCCAAACGACUGUUUAACAAAAACACAGGUCUCUGCUAAGUCGUAAGACGAAAUAUAGGGACUGACACCUGCCCGGUGCUGGAAGGUUAAAUGGAGAGGUUAGCUUCGGCGAAGCUUUGAAAUGAAGCCCCAGUAAACGGCGGCCGUAACUAUAACGGUCCUAAGGUAGCGAAAUUCCUUGUCGGGUAAGUUCCGACCUGCACGAAUGGUGUAACGACU
This 2079-nucleotide ribosomal RNA is filed under the name marine metagenome. RNAcentral describes it as "bacterial LSU rRNA". It matches the Rfam family "Bacterial large subunit ribosomal RNA", at positions 1 to 2009 of the family's 2925-position model. The record is from RNAcentral.